This is a long non-coding RNA of Rhineura floridana, 408 nucleotides long. RefSeq lists it as uncharacterized. The record is from RefSeq and is a predicted model, not a curated record. The transcript has 4 exons. NCBI's taxonomy places the organism in Eukaryota, Metazoa, Chordata, Lepidosauria, Squamata, Rhineuridae.
ACAAGCAUCAGAGUCAGCAGCAGGACUUCAGCACUUAAUAAUGAAAGCAGCCAGAAGCACCAUUUUAUCAGUUAAUCAUAAAAGCAACGAGCGCCCAGUAUGUGAUGAGCUGAAGAAUUAAAAUGUUACAAUUCUCCACUCCAAAGAAUUUAAACAUUGGACACAUUCCUUCCCACUGAAGUGAAUGGAGGAGCCCACCUGCACAGGGAUUCCAUGUGGACACAAGAAUAAUUGUACUGCUAUCCAUCACAGAUCACACAGACAAACAAGGCAAAGAUGAAAACAGCAUAUGAUGUGAAGGAGGGGGAUGGCAAGGAAGGGGUUGUUCCUGUAAAAACAAUCAAGCCUUCCCUUUGGAACAAGCAAUGAAGACCUGAUCUCAUAUCUUUCAUUUCCUUAAAAGCAUUC